This 340-nucleotide long non-coding RNA is filed under the name Equus asinus (donkey). RNAcentral's name for it is "lncRNA (ENSEASG00005033240.1)". Lineage: Eukaryota; Metazoa; Chordata; Mammalia; Perissodactyla; Equidae. The record is from RNAcentral.
AAAGAAACUAAGGUUCAGAGAUACUGAGAGACUUGCCAAUUAAUAAAGGGGCAGAGCUGGGUUCAAACACCCAAGUUUCUGACUUGAAACACACCUGUUCCACUACCCCACCAACCCUGUGAAUGUGAGCAGCAUUCACAAUGCCUGGAAGCCCCGAGAGGAAACAGCAGAAUUACAAGAGAAACUGAGGCACUGAUGGAAGCGGAAGGAUUCAGAAUGUCAAUGCUGAAGCGUCAAGAAAAUCUCAAAUUAUGCUCAAAGCUAGGAUGCUCAUGAAACAUUCGUUUUUAUCAAAAGUGUUAAAUACAACAGAAUAUCAUUCCUUAAAAAGGAAUGCAAU